This 550-nucleotide ribosomal RNA is filed under the name uncultured bacterium. Its description in RNAcentral is "bacterial SSU rRNA". It matches the Rfam family "Bacterial small subunit ribosomal RNA", at positions 355 to 896 of the family's 1533-position model. The record is from RNAcentral.
UAGGGAAUCUUCCGCAAUGGGCGAAAGCCUGACGGAGCAACGCCGCGUGAGUGAUGAAGGUCUUCGGAUCGUAAAACUCUGUUAUUAGGGAAGAACAUAUGUGUAAGUAACUGUGCACAUCUUGACGGUACCUAAUCAGAAAGCCACGGCUAACUACGUGCCAGCAGCCGCGGUAAUACGUAGGUGGCAAGCGUUAUCCGGAAUUAUUGGGCGUAAAGCGCGCGUAGGCGGUUUUUUAAGUCUGAUGUGAAAGCCCACGGCUCAACCGUGGAGGGUCAUUGGAAACUGGAAAACUUGAGUGCGGAAGAGGAAAGUGGAAUUCCAUGUGUAGCGGUGAAAUGCGCAGAGAUAUGGAGGAACACCAGUGGCGAAGGCGACUUUCUGGUCUGUAACUGACGCUGAUGUGCGAAAGCGUGGGGAUCAAACAGGAUUAGAUACCCUGGUAGUCCACGCCGUAAACGAUGAGUGCUAAGUGUUAGGGGGUUUCCGCCCCUUAGUGCUGCAGCUAACGCAUUAAGCACUCCGCCUGGGGAGUACGACCGCAAGGUUG